UAGUUCAGAAGUCCAACAUGGGUCUUUUUGGAUCAAAACCAAGGUGUCAGCAGGGAUGCAUUCAUUCUGGAAGCUCUAGGGAAGAAUCUCUUUCUUUGCCUUUUCCAGUUUCCAGAAUCAUUCACAUUCCUUGGCUCAUGGCUCCUUUCUUCCAUCUUUGAAACCAGCGGUGUUAUAUCUCUCUCUUGUCCUAUCUCUUUCUCUGAUUCUUUUUCUUUUUAAUGUUUAUUCAUUUUUGAGAGAGAGAGAGAAAGAGAGAGACAGAGUAUGAUCAGGGGAGGAGCAAAGAGAGAAAGGGAGACACAGAAUCAGAAGCAGGCUCCAGGCUCUGAGCUAUCAGCACACAGCCCGACACUGGGCUCAAACCCACAAACUUCAAGAUCAUGACCUGAGCCGAAGUUGGAUGCCCAACCGACUGAGCCACCCAGGAAGAAGUGAUCUCAUAUGGGUAUUAAAGCAAAGGAUGACUUCAGAAGGUUGAGGGCCUAAGGACAUUCAGAUGUAAAAGUUAAGACAAGAAGAAGAAAGGGGAAGAAGAAAAGAACAAGGAGUUGGAGAAUAGCUGUGAUGGCUUAUUAGCUGCAGAUAAGGAGCCAUUGUUUUCUGAAGGAGGUGGCAUGGAAGACAGGAAUAGCUGUUGCCCUUUCUACCAUGGUCGCCUGGAAAUGCCUUGUCUUCCAUCCAUGGACCCACCCACCAGGAUGGCAAACAGGAAGAGGGUCCUAUGCUCACUGACUAAGUCAGGACAAAGAGAGCCACACGGUAUCCUUACACUGGAAUGACACUUUAUGGUCACUGCUCUUUUAGCGAACUGGUUAGUCUACAGGCUCACCACUCAAAGUAUAGUUCAAGAACCAGCAUCAUCAGUGUCACCUAGCAAUGUCUUGAAAUACAGAACCUCUACCCCAAACCUGUGGAAUUAGGAUCUGCAUGGUUAUCAAGAUCCCCAAAUCCAAAUGGACAUUAAAGUUUG
Molecule: long non-coding RNA, 973 nt
Organism: Neofelis nebulosa (Clouded leopard)
Lineage: Eukaryota; Metazoa; Chordata; Mammalia; Carnivora; Felidae
Exons: 3
Source: RefSeq, a predicted model, not a curated record